This 266-nucleotide non-coding RNA is filed under the name Clostridium saccharoperbutylacetonicum. RNAcentral describes it as "T-box sequence". It matches the Rfam family "T-box leader". Rfam says of the family: Uncharged tRNA acts as the effector for transcription antitermination of genes in the T-box leader family. T-boxes are found upstream of many aminoacyl-tRNA synthetase genes and some amino acid biosynthetic genes usually in Gram-positive bacteria. The anticodon of a specific tRNA base pairs to a specifier sequence within the T-box motif, and the NCCA acceptor tail of the tRNA base pairs to a conserved bulge in the T-box antiterminator hairpin. The record is from RNAcentral. Lineage: Bacteria; Bacillati; Bacillota; Clostridia; Eubacteriales; Clostridiaceae.
AAUAAAGCUUUGAAGAGAAAGAGUAAAGUUAAUAGCGUUUUACAGAGAGUUCCCGGAAGGUGAGAGGGGCAAAACAAGUUGAUUUGAAUACAUCUCUGAGCAGCACUCCGAAAGAUAACAACCAGUAGGCAGAUGUCGUAUUCGCACACGUUAUAGUGCUAGGGUAUAACCAAGAUAUAAUUAUAUUGGCGUACCUGAAGAGGUUAUUAUUGUGAGAUAAUGAUAAAUUAAGGUGGUAACACGUAAGUAAUGCUUUCGUCCUUUUA